Non-coding RNA from Chelonoidis abingdonii (Abingdon island giant tortoise), 304 nucleotides. The record is from RefSeq and is a predicted model, not a curated record. NCBI's taxonomy places the organism in Eukaryota, Metazoa, Chordata, Testudines, Testudinidae.
GUUGGUUCUUCGCUCGAGGUAGCAGGACAAGAGCGAGGCGAGUCCGAGGAAGCGGAGGGCGCGAGAAGCAGAAAACGCAGCGCCAACAGGAAGUUGAAACUCAGGGCAUAGGACCUGCGCAGAGGGGUCCGGUCACAGCCUUUUUAAAGAAACAGUGCAGCUGCUUUCCUGAGCGGUAACAAAGAACAUAAGAACGGGUUUACUGGGUUAGGCCAAAGGUCUAUCUUGUCCAGUGGUUCUCCAACUUUUGUACUAGUGACCCCUUUCACACAGCAAGCCUCUGUUUGCGACCCCCCUUAUAUAU